RNAcentral lists this ribosomal RNA (506 nucleotides) under uncultured bacterium. RNAcentral describes it as "partial 16S ribosomal RNA". It matches the Rfam family "Bacterial small subunit ribosomal RNA", at positions 28 to 523 of the family's 1533-position model. The record is from RNAcentral.
GAUGAACGCUAGCUACAGGCUUAACACAUGCAAGUCGAGGGGUAACGAGAGGAAAGCUUGCUUUCCUUGUCGACGACCGGCGCACGGGUGAGUAACGCGUAUCCAACCUGCCCCCAACUAGGGAAUAACCUUGCGAAAGUAAGACUAAUACCCUAUAAUUUCCUCAGAUGACAUCUGACGAGGAAUAAAGAUUUAUCGGUUGUGGAUGGGGAUGCGUCUGAUUAGCUUGUUGGCGGGGUAACGGCCCACCAAGGCAACGAUCAGUAGGGGUUCUGGGAGGAAGGUACCCCACAUUGGAACUGAGACACGGGCCAAACUCCUACGGGAGGAAGCAGUGAGGAAUAUUGGUCAAUGGGCGGAAGCCUGAACCAGCCAAGUAGCGUGCAGGAUGACGGCCCUAUGGGUUGUAAACUGCUUUUAUACAGGAAUAAAGUUAGCCACGUGUGGUUAUUUGUAGGUACUGUAUGAAUAAGGACCGGCUAAUUCCGUGCCAGCAGCCGCCGUAA